RNAcentral lists this long non-coding RNA (1281 nucleotides) under Anser cygnoides (Swan goose). RNAcentral's name for it is "lncRNA (ENSACDG00005019204.1)". The record is from RNAcentral. Lineage: Eukaryota; Metazoa; Chordata; Aves; Anseriformes; Anatidae.
AUGCUCUGGUGCCGUUUUGGCAAGAAACGAACCCAGAAACUACUCGAAACGCCACCCGGCUUACCAGGGGUUAGAGGGCUCUGCAGGGAGGGGCGGAGAGAAAACAGAAAACGUCCACGGCCAGGGCACGCUACCAGCUCCCUGCAGCAUUUACAGCAGGAAUUACUUCUAAAAAAGGGGAAAAAUUACCAAAAAAAGCCGCAGCGCGCUUCGCAGAAAGCUUCCAGGGCCCUAAACAGUGGGAAGAUGAAAGCACGGACGGGAAGCUCCUCGAGAGGAGCGAGAGGAAGGACGCGGCGGGCCGGCCGCAGCCCGCCAACGGAUCCCUGCAGGUGGAGGACGCUUCCCCCUCGGAGUCGACGAGCAGAGAGGCUUAUUUCAGCCGGGUGGAAACCUUCACUAUAUCCUUCCAGCCUCCCCUCUCCCCACUUCACCGUCCCCAAGGGUUCCCUUCGUCUCCCCAGGUUUUUUGUUUUGUUUUGUUUGGUUGGUUGGUUGGUUUUUUUUUGUUUGGUUGGUUUUUGUUUUGUUUUUUCCCCUAGGGACGAGCCGCCCCGUGAGGAACGAGGCGCCUAAAGGCGGUGGAGAUGAGCCGGGGAAUUUUGGGGGGAGGUUUUUUUGUCCUUAACGCCGGGCACCCGCUGAAGUGGGCGGGCAAACCCCAUGAGCUGUCCCCGCUGGUGUGCGCCAGGUACGGCUGGGCCAACGUGGAGUGCGACGUGCUGAAGUGCUCCAGCUGCCAGGCCUUCCUCUGCGCCAGCCUGCAGCUCGCCUUCGACUUCGCCAAGUGUGCGUAUGCCGCGGGCCGGGGCCGGGGGGGAACCUUCCCGGGUGCGGGGUUUGGGAUUCCGCGCCCCAACGGAGCCCGUGGGCCCGCCUGGGUGGCGCUGGGCGCUUCCGUCCCUGAAAACGGAUCCGAUAAAGCUCCCGGGGUUCGCGGCGGCGCUCUCGGAGGCGGGUUUCCAGGCUCCCUGCUCCGCUGCUCUGGUCCUCCGCUGGUUUUUCUUAAUUAAAAAAGACCUUGGCUUGAUUGAAACGACUUUGGCUUGAUUGAAAAGACUUUGAUUUGAUUGAAAAGACUUUGGCUUGAUCGAAAAGACCUUAAACUUUUCUUAAUUAAGAAGACCGGGGGGCUGCUGGCCCUGCCGGCCUGUGCAGGCGCUCACCUCGCGUGAUUUAACCCCGAAAGCCCCCCGCUGCCCUAUUUGCGCCGGGUUGGAUUGCCAGGGCUGUCCUGGUGCUGGCUCCCGAGCCCGAACCCUGCCCAAACUCUGAUUUUCC